AAAAUGGCGGACAAACUUUCACACGUUUCAUCCUUCUCAGUUAAAGAGAUGUGUGAAUGGAUGGAUAGCAUCUCAAAAGAUCUCACAACCAUAUUUAAAGGGAGUCGAGUUGCCACCCUCUGACGUUUUACAGAGGGCACAUACAGAUGGCAGUACAGAUGCAGCCCUACUUAGUAAAGAGUGUACUUUACCAGUGGGAGAGGUUAACAUUUGGUUGGAGCACCUCAACAAUGUCGCUGCAAACAGAGAAAGGGGCCAGGCAAAGGCUGCAGAGACACGGUCUCUGAAAAAGAAAGAGUUGAGGACAGAGACAACUCCUGGUGGUGCUGCCACAUCGACUGCGACUACCCAUAGAAGUUCCGCUAGGAGCCCAAACCAUAGCCAGGCUCAGAGUGCA
Mya arenaria is the source of this 397-nucleotide long non-coding RNA. RefSeq lists it as uncharacterized. The record is from RefSeq and is a predicted model, not a curated record. Lineage: Eukaryota; Metazoa; Mollusca; Bivalvia; Myida; Myidae. The transcript has 4 exons.